RNAcentral lists this ribosomal RNA (301 nucleotides) under uncultured bacterium. RNAcentral describes it as "partial 16S ribosomal RNA". It matches the Rfam family "Bacterial small subunit ribosomal RNA", at positions 509 to 809 of the family's 1533-position model. The record is from RNAcentral.
CAGUAGCCGCGGUAAUACGGAGGGAGCUAGCGUUGUUCGGAAUUACUGGGCGUAAAGCGCACGUAGGCGGCUUUGUAAGUUAGAGGUGAAAGCCUGGGGCUCAACUCCAGAAUUGCCUUUGAGACUGCAUCGCUUGAACACGGGAGAGGUGAGUGGAAUCCCGAGUGUAGAGGUGAAAUUCGUAGAUAUUCGGAAGAACACCAGUGGCGAAGGCGGCUCACUGGACCGUUGUUGACGCUGAGGUGCGAAAGCUAGGGGAGCAAACAGGAUUAGAUACCCCUGUAGUCCCUGUCUCUUAUAA